GGGGCUAUAACUCAGUUGGUAGAGUGUCACAAUGGCAUUGUGAAAGCCACCGGUUCGAGCCCGGUUAGCUCCA
This 73-nucleotide transfer RNA is filed under the name Stanieria cyanosphaera PCC 7437. RNAcentral describes it as "tRNA-Ala (GGC) (tRNA-Ala-GGC-1-1)". It matches the Rfam family "tRNA". From Rfam's summary of the family: Transfer RNA (tRNA) molecules are approximately 80 nucleotides in length. Their secondary structure includes four short double-helical elements and three loops (D, anti-codon, and T loops). Further hydrogen bonds mediate the characteristic L-shaped molecular structure. tRNAs have two regions of fundamental functional importance: the anti-codon, which is responsible for specific mRNA codon recognition, and the 3' end, to which the tRNAs corresponding amino acid is attached (by aminoacyl-tRNA synthetases). tRNAs cope with the degeneracy of the genetic code in two manners: having more than one tRNA (with a specific anti-codon) for a particular amino acid; and 'wobble' base-pairing, i.e. permitting non-standard base-pairing at the 3rd anti-codon position. Lineage: Bacteria; Bacillati; Cyanobacteriota; Cyanophyceae; Pleurocapsales; Dermocarpellaceae. The record is from Rfam by way of RNAcentral.